Molecule: non-coding RNA, 31 nt
Filed under: Rattus norvegicus (Norway rat)
Lineage: Eukaryota; Metazoa; Chordata; Mammalia; Rodentia; Muridae
Source: RNAcentral
UGCUGACUUCACUAGAGCGACAGACUGCAGU